This 254-nucleotide ribosomal RNA is filed under the name uncultured bacterium. Its description in RNAcentral is "partial 16S ribosomal RNA". It matches the Rfam family "Bacterial small subunit ribosomal RNA", at positions 524 to 777 of the family's 1533-position model. The record is from RNAcentral.
UACGAAGGGGGCUAGCGUUGCUCGGAAUGACUGGGCGUAAAGGGCGCGUAGGCGGAUGGCACAGUCAGAUGUGAAAUUCCCGGGCUUAACCUGGGGGCUGCAUUUGAUACGUGUUGUCUAGAGUGAGGAAGAGGGUUGUGGAACUCCUAGUGUAGAGGUGGAAUUCGUAGAUAUUAGGAAGAACACCAGUGGCGAAGGCGACUCACUGGUCCGGUACUGACGCUGAGGUGCGAAAGCGUGGGGAGCAAACAGGG